RNAcentral lists this long non-coding RNA (565 nucleotides) under Phasianus colchicus (ring-necked pheasant). Its description in RNAcentral is "lncRNA (ENSPCLG00000000732.1)". The record is from RNAcentral. Lineage: Eukaryota; Metazoa; Chordata; Aves; Galliformes; Phasianidae.
AAGUGCCCAACAUAUUACACAAAUAAUACAAACCUAAUCAAAAGCUGCAGGUGUUUCAUGUUUUCCUUCAAUUCAUAGGCCAUAGAGUCUUAUCUCUAAGCUUUAACAGCCAAAAUACUGGAACCACACUUUCUCUCUAUUAUUUAUUACUCUCUGCUGUGGAACUACAGGUUUUCUCUACUGACAGACUGGGGCUCAUGCUGCACUGAGCACUACAAGAGCAGCAGACUCUCUUCAUCCUAUGAGUUUAUUACAUAAAGGCGACAGGAGGCAAUGGUCAUCAAAAAUGGAGGGCAAAAGAAGAAAUAAGAUGAAUGAGUCACGGUCAACAGUGGUGCUGCCGUAUUCCCACAUCAUGGCUUUUGGAAGAGGCUUUUUGCGGGGACCCCAACUGGAUGCAGGCUGCUGGGUGGACCUGGAUGAGAGCCUGUGGCUGCUCAGGUGCUUGCAGACAGCUGAAGGCUGCAGGAUAUGGGUCACUGAUAACCCAACUGAUCAACUGAUGGUUUGUCUUCAGAAAAAGCAAUCCUUUUUGCGUGUCACGAUUGUGCAUUAUGUUCCAUAC